Molecule: long non-coding RNA, 1617 nt
Filed under: Olea europaea subsp. europaea
Lineage: Eukaryota; Viridiplantae; Streptophyta; Magnoliopsida; Lamiales; Oleaceae
Source: RNAcentral
UUGGAAGAUCACGUUCGUGCUCAUCAUCAGUCAUCAAGCUCGGAAAAUCUACAGGUACGAUUUUUGGUAGCAUCAUUGGCGCCGUCUGUGGGAAGCGCUACCAAAAGCCAUGGUAAACACACGUUCAGGUCUUCCACCAGCAAGCUCAUCCGCUCCAAACCAACCCCCUCCUGAGGAUAUCCCUGUUCCUCAAGAGGAAUCAUCAGAAGUGCCAGAGCCCCAGCCGGCGGUCGUCACUGCUGGAGCCUUUGAAGAGCUCAGACAACAGGUCGCCACACUGACUCAGCUGCUAAGUCAAAGAAAUUCGCAUCCGUCACCUACACCAGCACCCCAGGGGGGUUUUAUGGCUGAUGCUCGAGCUCGAGCUCAAACACAUGCCCCUGACAAUGGCGGAGCAGGGGCCUCGGGUAUACCACAUGUGACCUCGGCCUCGAGAUCAGUGACCAUGGAUUCCGGAGAACUCGCUAGAAUUAUUCAAGAAGGAAUUACGGCGGGCCUACUUCAGGGCAACAAAGGGACGACAAGAUUCAGUCCCAACACUCCAUUUACUUCCGAAAUAUUAACAUUCCCCUUACCAGACAGAUUUAAGUAUCCUAGGAUCAAAGAAUAUGAUGGGACCACCGAUCCAAUCAAUCAUCUGAACAUAUACACGGACGUCAUGCAAAUCUCGAGGAUGGAUCCCGAGGACGGGCAACAAGUCAGACUUGCUCCUGUCGAAGAAUUGAUGGAAAUUGAGCUCGAGCAUGAUAAGAAGGUGACGAUUGGUCGGGAUCUUGACGUCACCCUGAAGACAGAACUUGUUAAUUGUUUAUCUCGCAACAUUGACGUUUUUGCCUGGAAGGUUGAGGAUAUGUCAGGGAUAGACCCUAAAAUUGCAGUCCAUAGGCUUAACAUUAGCCCAGGAGCUAGACCAGUAAAGCAGAGGAAAAGGCAGUUUGCCCCAGAACGACGGGAGGUUAUUCGCGAAGAAAUUAACAAACUCGUCAGCGCUCAAUUUAUUCGGGAGGUCCAAUAUCUCGAUUGGCUUGCCAAUGUUGUUUUAGUAAAGAAGGCCAAUGGUAAGUGGAGGAUCUGCAUGGACUUCACAGAUCUUAACAAAGCAUGUCCAAAGGAUAGUUAUCCCCUACCACGGAUUGACAACUUGGUGGAUAGCACGUCCGGACAUAAGUUGUACAGCUUCCUGGAUGCGUUUUCUGGUUAUCAUCAAAUCCUCAUGGCCGAAGAAGAUCAAGAAAAGACAUCAUUCAUGGCCGACUCCGCCAUAUACUGUUAUAAGGUCAUGCCUUUCGGUUUGAAGAAUGCAGGGGCAACAUACCAAAGACUCAUCAACAAAGUCUUUGCUAACUUGAUUGGAAGGAAUGUGGAGGCGUACGUUGAUGACAUGGUGGUGAAGAGCAAGCAGGUUGACCAACAUAUUUCAGACCUUGAAGAAGUGUUCAACACCUUGCGAAAGUACGGAAUGAAGUUGAACCCCGCGAAAUGUGCAUUCGGCGUAGCCUCGGGCAAGUUCUUGGGUUUUAUGAUCACUCAUCGGGGGACAGAGGCCAACCCUGACAAAAUACAAGCCUUGGCAUCUAUGGAAUCACCAAGGAACAAGAAAGAGGUACAGAGGUUGAC